CAUAAUAAUGUCCCAAUCUAUUUUAAGCACUGUGUGAGGUAGCUGUCAGACACCAGCAAGCACCCAGCAGACCUCCACCACAAGGAGCAUAACUGAGGAAGAGCCCCAGCUGCCUCGCUCUGCAAUCUACUACCCUCUUUGCACUAGGGCCUGGUCUCCCACGGACAACUCCCAGUGGAGGAAGCUUUUGAAUGUGAAUGCAGAGUUGAACGAACACAAACAAACAGAAAGCUCCCAGCACUUUUACUUCUUUUGGCAGAUUACAUUUUUUGUUCCAGAGAAGUAAAGGGAAGAAAUGAAGACCAGCAGGUUGCAUACAACACAGAAAAGAUCUGAUGAAAAUUCUACUAUGGCCUGUUUAUUUAGAAACAGAUUGGCCGGAUAAUGCUAAUACUAAUCACUGUCGUGGCUAAAAUUUAUUAAACACUCUCUCUGCUAUGCAUUUCAACAUACACCCCUAAGAGGUUGGUACUAAAUUUUCCAUUUUAAAGAUACGGAAAAAGAUACAUGAUAAGUUUAAGUAACCUGUUCAGCUAGUAAGUGGCAGAGCUAGGUUACAAACCCAGGUGAUCUUAUUCCAGAUCAGAAGAUCUGGACCAAAAGAAUUGGAAACAAGUCUGUCCUUCGUCUACUGUAACUCUUAUUGAAUAUCAUAUGGGGAUGA
This 664-nucleotide long non-coding RNA is filed under the name Homo sapiens (human). RNAcentral describes it as "HSALNT0310191". Lineage: Eukaryota; Metazoa; Chordata; Mammalia; Primates; Hominidae. The record is from RNAcentral.